AGAACGAACGCUGGCGGCAUGCCUAACACAUGCAAGUCGAACGAGACCUUCGGGUCUAGUGGCGCACGGGUGCGUAACGCGUGGGAAUCUGCCCUUGGGUUCGGAAUAACAGCGAGAAAUUGCUGCUAAUACCGGAUGGUGACGUAAGUCCAAAGAUUUAUCGCCCAAGGAUGAGCCCGCGUAGGAUUAGCUUGUUGGUGAGGUAAGAGCUCACCAAGGCGACGAUCCUUAGCUGGUCUGAGAGGAUGAUCAGCCACACUGGGACUGAGACACGGCCCAGACUCCUACGGGAGGCAGCAGUGGGGAAUAGUUGGACAAGUGGGCGAAAGCCUGAUCCAGCAAUGCCGCGUGAGUGAUGAAGGCCUUAGGGUUGUAAAGCUCUUUACCGGAUGAUAAUGACAGGUACCGGAAGAAUAA
This 417-nucleotide ribosomal RNA is filed under the name uncultured soil bacterium. Its description in RNAcentral is "bacterial SSU rRNA". It matches the Rfam family "Bacterial small subunit ribosomal RNA", at positions 26 to 489 of the family's 1533-position model. The record is from RNAcentral.